GAUGAACGCUGGCGGCGUGCCUAAUACAUGCAAGUCGAGCGAAUGGAUUAAGAGCUUGCUCUUAUGAAGUUAGCGGCGGACGGGUGAGUAACACGUGGGUAACCUGCCCAUAAGACUGGGAUAACUCCGGGAAACCGGGGCUAAUACCGGAUAACAUUUUGAACCGCAUGGUUCGAAAUUGAAAGGCGGCUUCGGCUGUCACUUAUGGAUGGACCCGCGUCGCAUUAGCUAGUUGGUGAGGUAACGGCUCACCAAGGCCACGAUGCGUAGCCGACCUGAGAGAGUGAUCGGCCACACUGGGACUGAGACACGGCCCAGACUCCUACGGGAGGCAGCAGUAGGGAAUCUUCCGCAAUGGACGAGAGUCUGACGGAGCAACGCCGCGUGAGUGAUGAAGGCUUGCGGGUCGUAAAACGCUGUUGUUAGGGAAGAACAAGUGCUAGUUGAAUAAGCUGGCACCUUGACGGUACCUAACCAGAAAGCCACGGCUAACUACGUGCCAGCCGCCGCCGUAA
This 515-nucleotide ribosomal RNA is filed under the name uncultured bacterium. RNAcentral describes it as "partial 16S ribosomal RNA". It matches the Rfam family "Bacterial small subunit ribosomal RNA", at positions 28 to 523 of the family's 1533-position model. The record is from RNAcentral.